GUAGUUAGCCGGGGCUUUCUUACAGGGUACCGUCACUUCUUCGUCCCCUGCGACAGAGGUUUACAAUCCGAAAACCUUCUUCCCUCACGCGGCGUUGCUGGGUCAGGCUUGCGCCCAUUGCCCAAUAUUCCCCACUGCUGCCUCCCGUAGGAGUCUGGACCGUGUCUCAGUUCCAGUGUGGCCGAUCAGCCUCUCAGCUCGGCUACCCAUCGUCGGCUUGGUGGGCUGUUAUCUCACCAACUACCUAAUGGGACGCGAACCCCUCUAAAAGCGAUAAAUCUUUGACCUCUUCCCGAUGCCGGGUUGUGGUCUUAUGCGGUAUUAGCAGUUGUUUCCACCUGUUAUUCCCCACUCUUAGGCAGGUUGUUCACGCGUUACUCACCCGUGCGCCACUAGAAUUAUCAAUUCCAUCCGAAAACUUCCUUAAUAAUCCCCGUUCGACUUGCAUGUGUUAGGCACGCCGCCAGCGUUCGUCCUGAGCACGAUACAACUACUAGA
This 498-nucleotide ribosomal RNA is filed under the name uncultured bacterium. Its description in RNAcentral is "partial 16S ribosomal RNA". The record is from RNAcentral.